This 253-nucleotide ribosomal RNA is filed under the name uncultured bacterium. Its description in RNAcentral is "partial 16S ribosomal RNA". It matches the Rfam family "Bacterial small subunit ribosomal RNA", at positions 524 to 776 of the family's 1533-position model. The record is from RNAcentral.
UACGAAGGGGGCUAGCGUUGCUCGGAAUCACUGGGCGUAAAGCGCACGUAGGCGGGUCCUUAAGUCAGGGGUGAAAUCCCGGAGCUCAACUCCGGAACUGCCUUUGAUACUGGGGAUCUUGAGUCCGGAAGAGGUGAGUGGAACUCCGAGUGUAGAGGUGAAAUUCGUAGAUAUUCGGAAGAACACCAGUGGCGAAGGCGGCUCACUGGUCCGGUACUGACGCUGAGGUGCGAAAGCGUGGGGAGCAAGCAGG